Molecule: Y RNA, 98 nt
Filed under: Cebus imitator (Panamanian white-faced capuchin)
Lineage: Eukaryota; Metazoa; Chordata; Mammalia; Primates; Cebidae
Description: Y RNA (ENSCCAG00000003821.1)
Rfam family: Y RNA
About the family: Y RNAs are components of the Ro ribonucleoprotein particle (Ro RNP), in association with Ro60 and La proteins. The Y RNAs and Ro60 and La proteins are well conserved, but the function of the Ro RNP is not known. In humans the RNA component can be one of four small RNAs -- hY1, hY3, hY4 and hY5.
Source: Rfam by way of RNAcentral
GGCUGGUCUGAGUGCAGUGGUGUUUACGACUAAUUGAUCACAACCAGUUACAGAUUUCUUUGUUCCUUCCCCACUCUGCUUCACUCAACUAGCCUUAA